RNAcentral lists this ribosomal RNA (586 nucleotides) under uncultured bacterium. RNAcentral describes it as "bacterial SSU rRNA". It matches the Rfam family "Bacterial small subunit ribosomal RNA", at positions 338 to 916 of the family's 1533-position model. The record is from RNAcentral.
CCUACGGGAGGCAGCAGUGGGGAAUUUUGGACAAUGGGGGCAACCCUGAUCCAGCAAUGCCGCGUGAGUGAAGAAGGCCUUCGGGUUGUAAAGCUCUUUUGUCAGGGAAGAAAAGGCUGUGGCUAAUAUCUAUGGCUCAUGACGGUACCUGAAGAAUAAGCACCGGCUAACUACGUGCCAGCAGCCGCGGUAAUACGUAGGGUGCAAGCGUUAAUCGGAAUUACUGGGCGUAAAGCGUGCGCAGGCGGUUUUGUAAGACUGUCGUGAAAUCCCCGGGCUCAACCUGGGAAUGGCGAUGGUGACUGCAAGGCUAGAGUUUGGCAGAGGGGGGUAGAAUUCCACGUGUAGCAGUGAAAUGCGUAGAUAUGUGGAGGAACACCGAUGGCGAAGGCAGCCCCCUGGGUCAAAACUGACGCUCAUGCACGAAAGCGUGGGGAGCAAACAGGAUUAGAUACCCUGGUAGUCCACGCCCUAAACGAUGUCUACUAGUUGUCGGGUCUUAAUUGACUUGGUAACGCAGCUAACGCGUGAAGUAGACCGCCUGGGGAGUACGGUCGCAAGAUUAAAACUCAAAUGAAAUUGACGG